Molecule: small nucleolar RNA, 107 nt
Organism: Macadamia integrifolia
Lineage: Eukaryota; Viridiplantae; Streptophyta; Magnoliopsida; Proteales; Proteaceae
Source: RefSeq, a predicted model, not a curated record
AGGCUGUGGUGAGGGCAUUCUUGGAGUAUAUCCUUGAAUCUCUUCAUGAGUUUACAAAAGGAUUCAUUAGGCUUUUGCCUAAACUAAAGGAUAUCACUUCUCAGAUU